AACUUUCAACAAUGGAUCUCUUGGAUCUGGCAUCGAUGAAGAACGCAGCGAAAUGCGAUAAGUAGUGUGAAUUGCAGAAUUCAGUGAAUCAUCGAAUCUUUGAACGCACAUUGCGCCCCUUGGUAUUCCAUGGGGCAUGCCUGUUCGAGCGUCAUCU
RNAcentral lists this ribosomal RNA (157 nucleotides) under Montagnula saikhuensis. RNAcentral describes it as "5.8S ribosomal RNA". It matches the Rfam family "5.8S ribosomal RNA". From Rfam's summary of the family: 5.8S ribosomal RNA (5.8S rRNA) is a component of the large subunit of the eukaryotic ribosome. The record is from RNAcentral. Lineage: Eukaryota; Fungi; Ascomycota; Dothideomycetes; Pleosporales; Didymosphaeriaceae.